This is a long non-coding RNA of Paramormyrops kingsleyae, 753 nucleotides long. RefSeq lists it as uncharacterized. The record is from RefSeq and is a predicted model, not a curated record. NCBI's taxonomy places the organism in Eukaryota, Metazoa, Chordata, Actinopteri, Osteoglossiformes, Mormyridae.
GGAAGCCUCCUGCUUCGUAUCCCAUGCUCAGCUGAGUGAUGUCACCACUGGGCUCUUGAGCAAGGUGCCUGACCCCAGUCACGCGGAAGGUUGGCUGACCCUGCAAGCUCACACUCGCAUCGCUUUGCGCAAAAGCAUCUGACAAAAAGCAGCAAGAAAAAGAUGCACUUCCAUCUAUAAUGACAACAUUGACCUUCAGAAGCGAGCAAAUGCAGGGACAGUGACACAGUGAGUCUGGCAUCCGCCUGACAGACUGCAGAAGGACUCAUCCAGUGUUUUCCAAUCUGGUCCUAGGGGACUUGAAGACAGUCCAUGUUUUUUGCUCCCUGCCAGUAGGAACAAAACAUGCGGACUGUGUGCAGCUCCCCAAGGAACGGAUUGGGAAACACUGGUCUAAGUUACUGAAAAUUGGAGCAGGAAAAAAAUUCUCAGCCACAAAAACUGAGACCUACUGAGCAAAACGGCAGCAGCCUGGGGCAGCAUGACCUCUCUCGCUCUCCUGUCUUUGGGACGCCAUGACACCCCCGUCAUGCUCCUACAAGCCUGGGCUUGCUGAUGGCCCUCAGGAGGGGCAAAGAAACAGCACUUUCAGGUGACAAGAGAAGCCAGGAGACACACGCUGGAAUUUUUAUUCAUUCUUCCACUACCAGACUAGUGAUGUUUAAUGCAUCUCAUGGACUUCUGUGAGUCUGCUGCCGUAGUUUCUGUUUAAUUUCACUCUACUUCAUUUUAAUGAAACCACACAUUUAAUAA